Molecule: ribosomal RNA, 461 nt
Filed under: uncultured bacterium
Lineage: Bacteria
Description: SSU rRNA
Rfam family: Bacterial small subunit ribosomal RNA
Source: RNAcentral
AGAAUCAACGCUGGCGGCGUGCCUAACACAUGCAAGUCGAUCGAGAAAGUGGAGCAAUCCAUGAGUAAAGAGGCGCACGGGUGAGUAACACGUGACUAACCUACCUUCGAGUGGGGAAUAAACCUGGGGAAACCCGGGCUAAUACCGCAUAAUACCUACGGGUCAAAGGAGCAAUUCGCUUGAAGAGGGGGUCGCGGCAGAUUAGUUAGUUGGCGGGGUAAUGGCCCACCAAGACGAUGAUCUGUAUCCGGCCUGAGAGGGCGCACGGACACACUGGAACUGAAACACGGUCCAGACUCCUACGGGAGGCAGCAGUGGGGAAUUUUGCGCAAUGGGGGAAACCCUGACGCAGCAACGCCGCGUGGAGGAUGAAGUCCCUUGGGACGUAAACUCCUUUCGACCGGGACGAUUAUGACGGUACCGGAUGAAGAAGCCCCGGCUAACUUCGUGCCAGCAGCCGC